This 513-nucleotide ribosomal RNA is filed under the name uncultured bacterium. RNAcentral's name for it is "bacterial SSU rRNA". It matches the Rfam family "Bacterial small subunit ribosomal RNA", at positions 28 to 530 of the family's 1533-position model. The record is from RNAcentral.
GAUGAACGCUAGCGGGAGGCUUAACACAUGCAAGUCGAGGGGCAGCAUAGGGUAGCAAUACUCUGAUGGCGACCGGCAAACGGGUGAGUAACGCGUAUGCAACCUACCCUGUACAGGGGGAUAACCCGGAGAAAUUCGGACUAAUAUCCCGUAAUAAUAUCCGGAGGCAUCUUUGGAUAUUUAAAGUUCCGACGGUACGGGAUGGGCAUGCGUAACAUUAACUGGUUGGUAAGGUAACGGCUUACCAAGGCUAUGAUGUUUAGGGGUCCUGAGAGGGUGGUCCCCCACACUGGUACUGAGACACGGACCAGACUCCUACGGGAGGCAGCAGUGAGGAAUAUUGGUCAAUGGGCGCAAGCCUGAACCAGCCAUCCCGCGUGCAGGAAGACGGCCCUAUGGGUUGUAAACUGCUUUUCCAGGGAGAGAAACUUACGCACGUGUUGCGUGACUGACGGUACCCUGGGAAUAAGCAUCGGCUAACUCCGCGCCAGCAGCCGCGGUAAAGUCACGUCG